CUUCUCAAAUUUUUUUAGUGAUAUAAAGAUAUAUAUUUAGUUUCAAUCAAUAGUGCCGCAGACUCAGGAGUUGUCCCAUCCCACAUCUCUUUCCACUCCACCAACCUCUCCAAUCUUGCAUCCACAAUCCCCACCACCACCAUCACCAAUAAUGCCUCAACCACCAUCCCCGCCACCAUCAAAACCCACUCCCCCACCAUCACCUAAACCCCAGGCUUCACCACCAUCACCUAAACCCCAUGCUUCAACACCGCAAUCUUCCACACCACCGGCACCCAAAAAUGAUGAUAAGAUACCACCGCAACCAAAUAAAACAAAAUUCUCGGUCCCCAAAUUGGUUUCCCUGAACGAGCCAAAGAAGAAGGCCGCUGGUACGACCCUAUUUUUGUCCGGAAUUGCAAGGAGCCGCACUUCAAAACUUGUUGACUUGGCAGAGCAUGAGAAGGAGGGGACGAAAAGCUUUGAAACACGUAUUGUCAAUAUCAGGCCACCAACAAAGGAUGAUUACAAAUUUGUCCCUACUAAAUAUGAGCCAGGCAGACCACUACUUAGUUGGGACAAACUCAAAAAGAUCCCAGCUGGUAUAAAAAGGAUGCAUGACUGGUAUAUGAGAGCAACUUCUGUAGGCAUUGACACGAUCAAUGUGAUUAUACCACCAAAAGCAUUCAACAAUGAGCGUACAAAGGCAAUCGUUACCUUCGAUGACAUGUGGACGUGCAGCUGGUAACCGUGUUUGCAUUAAUGAAUUUUGAACAACAAGAGAUGCGGUACGGUUCGGAUCCGGAUAGGUCUGCUAGUAAAAGUGUUGCGUAUGUGAUCCCGAUGAAGAUAUGUGAGGAGCGGCACAACUUUAGAAUCAAAGACAAACACGACUCCUUACAAGGUUUAGAUCCCGCUGAGCGUAAGAAGAUAAUAGAUGAAAAUCGACUAGAUUAUGAAUGUAAGUACGACUUCUACAUAGCCUUGGCACUGCUCAAGUAUCAAGAUUGAGAAUGUGUUGUUGCCCCAUACAACUUUGGGGACCACUGGAUCUGCCUCCUCAUUAAUCCUAGUGUAGGACGUGUGCUAGUCCUAUACUCUGCAGACUAUGAUCCUUCAAGUUAUGCAAAAUUCAUUAUACAUUUGGAACGGGCCUAUAGGUAUUAUAAGAUCAAAGGUGGAAGGUGCGGUUCAUCAGAACCAGGGCAGCCAUUGAGAUUAUUUUAUAAAUGGCCGUGCCAUAAGCAACCAGUCGGAUCGGUCCACCGUGGAUUCUACGUCUACGAGUUUAUGAGAGAGACCGGAAGAUAUGUAACUAACCCUUCUAAGACGAAGAGCGUGACUCAAGUUGUUCUAUACAACAUAGUUGAGGACCUCUACACUUUUCUCUUGAGAGAAGCUAUUCCCACCGAAGGGAAAUAUCACGACCCG
Molecule: long non-coding RNA, 1410 nt
Organism: Sorghum bicolor (sorghum)
Lineage: Eukaryota; Viridiplantae; Streptophyta; Magnoliopsida; Poales; Poaceae
Exons: 6
Source: RefSeq, a predicted model, not a curated record